GGAAGGCGUGAGUCCAGCAUUGUGAGACAGCAGUGCCGAGAGCCUUCUCUGAGUAAGGCAGGAAGCCUUCCCAAUUCCAGUCUCCAAGUUUUAUUCUUUCCUGAAUCAAGGACAAUGCCAGGCUUUUGGGCGUGGAGGCCCUCUCUACAUGAAUUCCCAUAUGAGGCUCUUCUAUUUCAACAGCCUCCAAAUUGGAAUGUAUUUUGAAGCCCCCCAUACAGCCCCCUGUUGUCAUUGACCCUAAAUCUGCAGGCACAGGAAAUUGGUCCACACCCUGCUCUGUACGGCUGCCCUAUGGAGUCUUGCUCUGUCACCAUGCUCGAGUGCAGCAGCGCGAUCUCGGCUCACUGCAACCUCUGCCUCCCGGGUUCACGCCAUUCUCCUGCCUCAGCCUCCCGAGUAGCUGGGAUUACAGGUGCCCACCACCACACCCAGCUAAUUUUUUUUUUGUAUUUUUAGUAGAGAUGGGGUUUCACCAUGUUGGCCAGGAUGGUCUCAAUCUCCUGACCUCGUGAUCCGCCCGCCUCCCAGAGUGCUGGGAGUACAGGCAUGAGCCACUGCACUGGGCCAAUAGUAAUAUUUUAAGGGUAAGAAAAAUCAGUAUCUUAUAGAGUAUCAAUGUGCUUCCAUGGACUGGUCUUGUACCUGCGGGUAUCAGCCAUUGCAUUCGAGCAAGUGCUCCAGCCAGGAAGCUCCAACAGAAGCCUGCCCUUCCAUGUGAAGAUCUGUAAACCACUGGGAAAUGAGAUAUCACCAGCCUAUGGGAAAUACACAAGACCCACUCCAGCAGGGAGAAACUCCAUUACAUCUCAGCCCAUGUGACUGACUCAGAAGGCUGUGGAAGCAAAUAUGUACUCACAUGCUCCAGCGUGAACUCAGCUCAAGAAACAAAGUGACCUUGGUUGUGCUUUGGGCAUAGGUGGAGAAAAGAUGGAAGAAUAAGACAGCAGGAGGCUGACCCAGAAGAGCAGGUUCUGGGGAACUCUAGAGCAAGAUGUGUCUCCUCUGGUUUAGCAGAGAACAAAUAUGAAGAGUAGGAAUUCCCUGUAGGAGUCCCUGUAAGAAGAGCAGAAAUGGCACAUUAUCUUCACUGCUUCUCACCACUAAUUACAUAAAUCUAGAAGCUACUGUAAAUGGCUACUUUUAAAAAUACACUAUUUUCGAAAAAGCUUGGCUGUGAUGUAGGGCCUAUAGCCCCAAAGGUUAACAGUAUAGCAAACAAAUUAGAAAGCAAGAACCCAGAAACAGAAGAAGAAAACGUAUUCCUCAGAAUGGACAAUACAUUGAGAAUAGGCAUUGCAUUUGUUUCUGAGCAUCCCAAAAAAACAGAGAGAAAAA
Long non-coding RNA from Homo sapiens (human), 1338 nucleotides. NCBI's taxonomy places the organism in Eukaryota, Metazoa, Chordata, Mammalia, Primates, Hominidae. The record is from Ensembl.